GACGAACGCUGGCGGCGUGCUUAACACAUGCAAGUCGAACGGAAAGGCCCUGCUUUUGUGGGGUGCUCGAGUGGCGAACGGGUGAGUAACACGUGAGUAACCUGCCCUUGACUUUGGGAUAACUUCAGGAAACUGGGGCUAAUACCGGAUAGGAGCUCCUGCUGCAUGGUGGGGGUUGGAAAGUUUCGGCGGUUGGGGAUGGACUCGCGGCUUAUCAGCUUGUUGGUGGGGGAGUGGCUUACCAAGGCUUUGACGGGUAGCCGGCCUGGGAGGGUGACCGGCCACAUUGGGACUGGGGUAGGGCCAAGACUCCUACGGGAGGAAGCGGUGGGGAAUAUUGCACAAUGGGCGGAAGCCUGAUGCAGCAACGCCGCGUGCGGGAUGACGGCCUUCGGGUUGUAAACCGCUUUCGCCUGUGACGAAGCGUGAGUGACGGUAAUGGGUAAAGAAGCACCGGCUAACUACGUG
RNAcentral lists this ribosomal RNA (468 nucleotides) under uncultured bacterium. RNAcentral's name for it is "partial 16S ribosomal RNA". It matches the Rfam family "Bacterial small subunit ribosomal RNA", at positions 28 to 507 of the family's 1533-position model. The record is from RNAcentral.